This 484-nucleotide ribosomal RNA is filed under the name uncultured bacterium. RNAcentral's name for it is "partial 16S ribosomal RNA". It matches the Rfam family "Bacterial small subunit ribosomal RNA", at positions 30 to 507 of the family's 1533-position model. The record is from RNAcentral.
AUUGAACGCUGGCGGCAGGCCUAACACAUGCAAGUCGAGCGGAUGAAGGGAGCUUGCUCCUGGAUUCAGCGGCGGACGGGUGAGUAAUGCCUAGGAAUCUGCCUGGUAGUGGGGGAUAACGUCCGGAAACGGGCGCUAAUACCGCAUACGUCCUGAGGGAGAAAGUGGGGGAUCUUCGGACCUCACGCUAUCAGAUGAGCCUAGGUCGGAUUAGCUAGUUGGUGGGGUAAAGGCCUACCAAGGCGACGAUCCGUAACUGGUCUGAGAGGAUGAUCAGUCACACUGGAACUGAGACACGGUCCAGACUCCUAAGGGAGGCAGCAGUGGGGAAUAUUGGACAAUGGGCGAAAGCCUGAUCCAGCCAUGCCGCGUGUGUGAAGAAGGUCUUCGGAUUGUAAAGCACUUUAAGUUGGGAGGAAGGGCAGUAAGUUAAUACCUUGCUGUUGUGACGUUACCAACAGAAUAAGCACCGGCUAACUUCGUG